This 107-nucleotide small nuclear RNA is filed under the name Schistocerca americana (American grasshopper). Lineage: Eukaryota; Metazoa; Arthropoda; Insecta; Orthoptera; Acrididae. The record is from RNAcentral.
GUACUCGCUUCGGCGGUACAUAUACUAAAAUUUGAACGAUACAGAGAAGAUUAGCAUGGCCCCUGCGCAAGGAUGACACGCAAAAUCGUGAAGCGUUCCACAAAAAA